UACGAAGGGGGCUAGCGUUGCUCGGAAUUACUGGGCGUAAAGCGUGCGCAGGCGGUUGUGCAAGACAGAUGUGAAAUCCCCGGGCUUAACCUGGGAACUGCAUUUGUGACUGCACGGCUGGAGUGCGGCAGAGGGGGAUGGAAUUCCGCGUGUAGCAGUGAAAUGCGUAGAUAUGCGGAGGAACACCGAUGGCGAAGGCAAUCCCCUGGGCCUGCACUGACGCUCAUGCACGAAAGCGUGGGGAGCAAACAGG
RNAcentral lists this ribosomal RNA (253 nucleotides) under uncultured bacterium. RNAcentral's name for it is "partial 16S ribosomal RNA". It matches the Rfam family "Bacterial small subunit ribosomal RNA", at positions 524 to 776 of the family's 1533-position model. The record is from RNAcentral.